RNAcentral lists this ribosomal RNA (439 nucleotides) under uncultured bacterium. RNAcentral's name for it is "partial 16S ribosomal RNA". It matches the Rfam family "Bacterial small subunit ribosomal RNA", at positions 339 to 795 of the family's 1533-position model. The record is from RNAcentral.
CUACGGGUCGCUGCAGUGAGGAAUAUUGCACAAUGGAGGAAACUCUGAUGCAGCAACGCCGCGUGGAGGAUGACGCAUUUCGGUGUGUAAACUCCUUUUAUAUGUCAAGAAAAUGACGGUAGCAUAUGAAUAAGCUCCGGCUAACUCCGUGCCAGCAGCCGCGGUAAUACGGAGGGUGCAAGCGUUACUCGGAAUCACUGGGCGUAAAGGACGCGUAGGCGGGAUAUCAAGUCAGGUGUGAAAUCCUACAGCUUAACUGUAGAACUGCACUUGAAACUGGUAACCUAGAGUAUGGGAGGGGGAGAUGGAAUUAGUGGUGUAGGGGUAAAAUCCGUAGAUAUCACUAGGAAUACCUAAAGCGAAGGCGAUCUCCUGGAACAUAACUGACGCUAAGGCGUGAAAGCGUGGGGAGCAAACAGGAUUAGAUACCCCCGUAGUC